GAUGAACGCUGGCGGCGUGCCUAAUACAUGCAAGUCGAACGGACAGACGCUGCUCUUGCUCCUCUCACGUUAGCGGCGCGCGGGUGAGUAACGCGUGUAUCCCCUCCCUGUCUUACUGAGAUAACCUCGGGACACCGGCGAUUAUCCCAGAUAAUCUCUUGCACCGCGUGGUUCAAUGGUGAAUGACGGUUUUGCUGUCACGUCUCGCUGCUUCCGGGCCGCAUGAGCUGGUUGGUACGGUCACGGCCUACCAAGGCAACGAUGCGUAGCCGAACUGCGAGACGGGUAGGCCGCAUGGGAACUGAGACAGCGUCCAGGGGACUACGGGAGGCAGCAGUAGGGUAUCUGCGGCAACGGGCGAAAGCCUUACGGAGCAAGGCCGCGUGAGUGAUGACGGCGUUCGGAUCGUAAAGCCCGGUUAUUAGUGAAGAACAAAUGUGGCAGGAACUAUGCCCGUCUUGACGGUACCUAAUCAGAAAGCACCGGCUAACUACGUG
This 497-nucleotide ribosomal RNA is filed under the name uncultured bacterium. Its description in RNAcentral is "partial 16S ribosomal RNA". It matches the Rfam family "Bacterial small subunit ribosomal RNA", at positions 28 to 507 of the family's 1533-position model. The record is from RNAcentral.